Molecule: ribosomal RNA, 430 nt
Filed under: bacterium
Lineage: Bacteria
Description: partial 16S ribosomal RNA
Rfam family: Bacterial small subunit ribosomal RNA
Source: RNAcentral
UGGGGAAUAUUGGACAAUGGGCGAAAGCCUGAUCCAGCCAUGCCGCGUGUGUGAAGAAGGCCUUUUGGUUGUAAAGCACUUUAAGCGAGGAGGAGGCUACUUGGAUUAAUACUCUAGGAUAGUGGACGUUACUCGCAGAAUAAGCACCGGCUAACUCUGUGCCAGCAGCCGCGGUAAUACAGAGGGUGCGAGCGUUAAUCGGAUUUACUGGGCGUAAAGCGUGCGUAGGCGGCUUUUUAAGUCGGAUGUGAAAUCCCUGAGCUUAACUUAGGAAUUGCAUUCGAUACUGGGAAGCUAGAGUAUGUGAGAGGAUGGUAGAAUUCCAGGUGUAGCGGUGAAAUGCGUAGAGAUCUGGAGGAAUACCGAUGGCGAAGGCAGCCAUCUGGCCUAAUACUGACGCUGAGGUACGAAAGCAUGGGGAGCAAACAGG